GACUACUCUUGUAGGAGGUGAUAUCAAUGU
Molecule: non-coding RNA, 30 nt
Filed under: Rattus norvegicus (Norway rat)
Lineage: Eukaryota; Metazoa; Chordata; Mammalia; Rodentia; Muridae
Source: RNAcentral